Long non-coding RNA from Papilio polytes (common Mormon), 945 nucleotides. RefSeq lists it as uncharacterized. The record is from RefSeq and is a predicted model, not a curated record. The transcript has 5 exons. NCBI's taxonomy places the organism in Eukaryota, Metazoa, Arthropoda, Insecta, Lepidoptera, Papilionidae.
UUAACAACAUUUCUAUAUUGAUACAACCACAUAGGAAAUGGUAUUUCGUACUGACAAUAAAAUGUUUGAAGAGAAUAUUAACUAGUGUCCGUUUUAUAAGAGAUUUAUUUGAAUUCAUUUGAGACCUAAUCGGAAAUAGCAAUUUCUUAUGAAGAUUCGCGUUUUAAUAUUCGCUCGACGAGGAUCAAUAGACAAAAAACCAAAAGGAAGUAAUUGGAUAAAAGGAGAUUUGGUUCUGGGUUCAAGCCCUGCCAUGUACCAUUGUGAUUUUCAAUUUUCAAAUCACCAACAUAAUUCAUUCGAUGUUCCUACGGAAAUAUAGUGAUGAACCCUGCACAUAUCGGCGAAGAAAUUCAAAGAUAUGUGUGAAGUCAACCAACACGCAGCGCCAGACUAUGACCUAGUCAUCCCUAACUUUGGAGGAUUGGAGAGAUUAUUUGUACCAGAGUUUUAUCAGUGGAAACCUACAAUCAAGUUCUUUAACCUACGAAUGUGGGAUAAUUAGAUACAAAAAAUUAUAGAGCAAUCAAUCACGAUAUAAUCAGCGAAAUAAUUAGUCUACGUAAUUACAGUGGAGAUUCUCAAGCCUUUAAGUUGAAAUUAAUUAUGAAUGUUAACCAACAAGAUAAUGUUAGAUUAUACCAAAGUUAUAACGGUCAGUUCUCACUGCCAAAACACACGUGUAGUCUCUCUCAUAAUCUUAACGAAGAGAGAGAGAGAGAGAGAGAGAGAGAGAGAGAGGGAGGGAGAGAGAGAGAGAUAGCAUGAUUUUCUGCAGAUUCUCAAUCGAAACUCAAGAAUAACUUUUAACGAAUCUCGCAACAUAGAGUAAACAAUCCGGUAGAGCGGUACACAUUGUAACAGAUGGGUGCAUUGCGACGCGCACUGCCGACUUGUGGUAAAGCGAGGCAAUCAAUCUCUAUUUUAAACUUGCUCUGUACAUCA